GACGAACGCUGGCGGCGUGCCUAAUACAUGCAAGUCGAACGCACAGUUUAUACCGUAGCUUGCUACACCAUAGACUGUGAGUUGCGAACGGGUGAGUAACGCGUAGGUAACCUGCCUGGUAGCGGGGGAUAACUAUUGGAAACGAUAGCUAAUACCGCAUAAUAUUGAUUAUUGCAUGAUAAUUGAUUGAAAGAUGCUAUUGCAUCACUACCAGAUGGACCUGCGUUGUAUUAGCUAGUAGGUGAGGUAACGGCUCACCUAGGCGACGAUACAUAGCCGACCUGAGAGGGUGAUCGGCCACACUGGGACUGAGACACGGCCCAGACUCCUACGGGAGGCAGCAGUAGGGAAUCUUCGGCAAUGGACGAAAGUCUGACCGAGCAACGCCGCGUGAGUGAAGAAGGGUUUCGGAUCGUAAAGCUCUGUUGUAAGAGAAGAACGGGUGUGAGAGUGGAAAGUUCACACUGUGGCGGUAGCUUACCAGAAAGGGACGGCUAACUACGUG
RNAcentral lists this ribosomal RNA (505 nucleotides) under uncultured bacterium. RNAcentral describes it as "partial 16S ribosomal RNA". It matches the Rfam family "Bacterial small subunit ribosomal RNA", at positions 28 to 507 of the family's 1533-position model. The record is from RNAcentral.